This 23-nucleotide microRNA is filed under the name Brugia malayi. RNAcentral describes it as "bma-miR-250". Its record names the gene bma-miR-250. The record is from miRBase by way of RNAcentral. RNAcentral also lists the same sequence under 1 other name. Lineage: Eukaryota; Metazoa; Nematoda; Chromadorea; Rhabditida; Onchocercidae.
AAUCACAGCCAACUGGUGGCUCA